GUAAGGCCCUUGGCACCGGUGGGACAAGACUAAUUUAAUUUAAUAUAACAAUUAUGACAACAUUGCGACCAUUCACCUGCGACGAUCUUUUUAAAUUUAACAAUGUGAAUUUUGAUCCACUCACGGAGACUUAUGGCCUUUCCUUCUAUACACAAUACCUGGCCAAAUGGCCGGAGUACUUUCAACUGGCUGAGUCGCCUAGUGGGCAAAUCAUGGGCUACAUCAUGGGCAAGGUGGAAGGACAUGGAGACAAUUGGCAUGGACACGUAACGGCUCUAACAGUCUCACCGGACUAUAGAAGAUUAGGGCUGGCGGCCCUACUGAUGAGCUUCCUAGAGGAUAUAUCAGAGAAAAAACGCGCAUACUUCGUGGACUUGUUUGUGCGUAAGAGCAACCAAGUGGCCAUAAACAUGUAUAAGAAUCUAGGAUACAUCAUCUAUCGCACUAUACUCGAGUAUUAUUCGGGCGACCAAGAUGAGGAUGCGUAUGACAUGCGUAAGGCGCUCUCCCGAGAUGUGAACAAAAAAUCGGUUAUACCAUACACGCAACCAGUACGAUUGGAAGAUAUAGAUAUGAAUUAAUAUCCACCCAAAUACAGCCCGCAUUCGCAUUUAUGUUUACUGAUCACCAUGAUAAUUACCUUAAAACAUAAUUGGCACAAUUGCUCAUACUCGGCACAGUCAUGCCGAUCUCCAAAUUCUAGUUAUUUAAAUAAAAAAAAUGUAUCUAAUCCGUAGUACUGGAGCAUUCUGUUAUGUUUAAGUACAAAGGUCCUAAUUUUUUUUUUGCUAACUUAAACCCGACAUCCUAGCGAGCCUACGCUCUCCAAAACUUGGAUUACGUAUGAUAUUACAUUCAUGUAAUCCUCUGUUAUGUACGUAAUAUUUUAUUUUAUUCAUUUUGUCAUCAGUUCUAAGAUCUUUUUAAGACGAUUGUAACUAUUGCAAAUGAAAUACUCACUGAUCUUUAAAGAUAACAAUGCGAGAAUUACGACACCAAAUAAGACACGAAGGAUAAAAAUCUAAUCUUAUACUCUACAUGCAUGAAUUGUAUAUAUAUAUAUAUAUAUGAGCUGAAUCUGCCAUUAAGCCCUAUUCAGUCUCGAAUAGGGAGA
Molecule: RNA transcript, 1114 nt
Organism: Drosophila busckii
Lineage: Eukaryota; Metazoa; Arthropoda; Insecta; Diptera; Drosophilidae
Gene: Naa20A
Gene name: N-alpha-acetyltransferase 20
Exons: 6
Source: RefSeq, a predicted model, not a curated record